AAAGUACUCCCUCCGUCCAGAAAUACUUGUCAUCAAAAUGAAUAAAAGAGGUUGUAUCUAGAUGUAUUUUAGUUCUAGAUACAUCCCUUUUUGUCCAUUUUGAUGACAAGUAUUUUCGGACGGAGGGAGUACUUC
This is a non-coding RNA of Triticum aestivum (bread wheat), 135 nucleotides long. The record is from Rfam. Lineage: Eukaryota; Viridiplantae; Streptophyta; Magnoliopsida; Poales; Poaceae.